UACAUUUCUUUCAAAAUUUUGUGAGAAUUUUGGCACACUUAUAAGAAUAUAAGGAAUAUUAUCGGCUGAAAAUUUAUUCAUGUUUAAUCUUAAGUUAAAGUUUUAGGUGCGCAGACAUGGGGGCCCCCUUCAUUCAUAGUUGAAUAAUCUAUUUUCAGGUCUUGUUGAUUCAAGGAUGUACAGGCCACAGCAACAAGAACUUUUGAUAACUGCUGUGGAGCAGGGAAACAAAGCAGAGGUCGAGACUUGUCUUAAUAUGCCGGGUACAGAUAUCAAUGAAAAACCGUGGGGAAUGGAAUCCUUGCUGAUGAGAGGCAAUACGUUGCAACCACAAGGAUGUGGCAGAACUCCUCAUUGAGAGGGGUAUUGAUGUGGAACCAGACUCUCCAAGAAGUGAGACAAAGGAUUGCAGUCAAAAGACAGCUAGAGAUUAUGCAGAGUUCUAUGGAAUGCCUGACAUCGUUAAGAAAAUUGAUGAACAGCGGAUUAAACGUAUGGCUAGACCUUGAGGAGAGUGUCAUUAUGGGGACAUAUUGAUGAUAGUGAUGUGACAGAUUGGUGAAGCUGAAAAUGCCAUAUCUACUGACUUAAAUGUAUGUACACUUCAUUAAUUGGUCUAAAAACAAUUUGGUCUCAUAACCAGAUAGGCUUCCUACGUUGUGGCUUGACCCUUUUGGUCCAUGAUGUUUCAUUUUGUCAAACUUACACUUGGUCUAAUUGCUGCCAGAAGAUUUAAUGAUCACUUGGGCUGAUUAUCACUUAGUCUAAUCUAGGUCCCAUAUUACACAAAGGUUAGUGAUUGAUCAUACAAUUGGUUUGUAUGAUCGAUUGUACAUUGUGGUCAAUGCAAUCAUAAGAUUAUUCUUUAAAAUGAUUGCAAAGCUUUGUGUUACAGGCCCCUAGUUGGUCUAGUUACCACUCUAUCUUAGGGGAGUAAAAAUAAGUAUAACGUUAUACCUGAUAGUGGUUAGCCAAAGUAUGAUAUUUGAUAAGUAUACAAACUGGCCGUAGACUAUAUAAAAUUGAACCAAUUACCAUCUGUUGAUGAGACCAAGUGAGAGUGUAAAUUAAUUUCUACUUUAUCUUUCUGGGCCUGCCGCAGAAGAGUAAGUGUGCACGCUUCUGAUUUGUUAAAAUUCAAGUUGCUUUUGAUUUGAGAUUGCAUUUGGUGGCAACUUUGGCCGUCCUGGCUAAACAUAUGUGAGUUCCUGGGUUAAAAAACAAAAUGUAAAUGAUUAGGGUUGAUAUACAGUUUCUUUUUUUUUAAUUAUAAGUAGAAUUUUGUUAAGCUUUUAAAUCAUUUUCACAUUAUUUCUGAAAAUUGCUACAGUAAAAAAUGUAUUCUGUCUGGGAAUUAUUCUUCAGAUGCUUCACAUUCCUUUGAACAAAAUAGCAAACAACGGCAGCAGACAUUUUCAAGCCUAACAUUUGUGUGUAGUACCAUAUAUAUGCAUUCUGGUCUUCAUUACAUAUUUCUCAGCAAUUUUGGGGUGAUUA
Molecule: long non-coding RNA, 1497 nt
Organism: Lytechinus variegatus (green sea urchin)
Lineage: Eukaryota; Metazoa; Echinodermata; Echinoidea; Temnopleuroida; Toxopneustidae
Exons: 4
Source: RefSeq, a predicted model, not a curated record